RNAcentral lists this ribosomal RNA (1050 nucleotides) under Triticum aestivum (bread wheat). RNAcentral describes it as "partial small subunit ribosomal RNA". The record is from RNAcentral. Lineage: Eukaryota; Viridiplantae; Streptophyta; Magnoliopsida; Poales; Poaceae.
AUGGAGGAAAGAUCCCCUGCUAUUCAAACAUUGCUAUGCGAUAGUGAUGUGUUCAGACCAUUGCAGCAUCUAGCAAAAUACAACACUUUGCAUGCCUUGAAGCUCUGUCUGAGAACUUUCUCAUUUCCGUUGAAACCAAAGUAUCUACAUCACCUGAGGUACCUUGAUCUCUUAGAAAGUUUUAUAAUAUCACUUUCUGAAGGUAUAAGUAUUCUAUAUAACCUGCAAGUGCUGGACCUUUCCAACUGCCGUUAUCUUGAACGACUUCCAAGGCAAAUGAAGUAUAUGACUUCCCUCUGCCACCUCUACACUCAUGAAUGUCCGAGGUUGAAGAGCAUGCCUCCAGGACUUGAAAAUCUCACUAAGCUGCAGACACUCACAGUUUUGGUAGCAGGAGUUCCUGGCCCUAAUUGCACUGAUGUUGUAGAGCUGCAGCAUUUAAACCUUGGUGGUCAUCUAGAGCUACGCCAGGUAGAGAAUGUUAAAGAAGCAGAGGCAAAAGUGGCGAAUCUUGGAAACAAGAAGGAUCUCAGAGAACUGACAUUAAGAUGGAAUUCUGUUCGUGACAGCAAGGUGCUCGACAAUUUCGAACCACAUGGUGGGCUGCAGGUUCUGAAGGUAUAUUCCUAUGGAGGAGAGUGCAUGGGUAUGCUGCAAAACAUGGUUGAGAUCCAUCUUUUUCAUUGUGAAGGAUUGCAAAUUUUGUUCAGAUGCAGUGCAAUCUUCACUUUUCCAAACCUGAAGGUACUAAUGCUAGAACAUUUGUUGGGUUUUGAAAGAUGGUGGGAAAUAGAUGAGAGGCAAGAAGAACAAACAAUAUUGCCUGUGCUUGAGAAGUUGUUUAUUAGUAAUUGUGGAAAGUUGGUAGCAUUACCUGAAGCACCAUUGCUGCAAGGACCUUGUGGUGAAGGUGGUUAUACAUUGGUACGCUCAGCAUUUCCUGCCCUGAAGGUACUUAAAAUGAAAGAUUGGAGAGCUUUCAGAGAUGGGAUGCAGUCGAAGAGACUCAAGGAGAACAGAUAUUGUCGGUUAAGGACUGCCCACAGCUGA